RNAcentral lists this ribosomal RNA (253 nucleotides) under uncultured bacterium. Its description in RNAcentral is "partial 16S ribosomal RNA". It matches the Rfam family "Bacterial small subunit ribosomal RNA", at positions 524 to 776 of the family's 1533-position model. The record is from RNAcentral.
UAUGGGGGGGGCAAGCGUUGUUCGGAAUUACUGGGCGUAAAGGGCUUGUAGGUGGCCAACUAAGUCAGACGUGAAAUCCCUCGGCUUAACCGGGGAACUGCGUCUGAGACUGGAUGGCUUGAGUGUGGGAGAGGGAUGCGGAAUUCCAGGUGUAGCGGUGAAAUGCGUAGAUAUCUGGAGGAACACCGGUGGCGAAGGCGGCAUCCUGGACCAUAACUGACACUGAUAAGCGAAAGCCAGGGGAGCAAACGGG